Molecule: non-coding RNA, 373 nt
Organism: Maylandia zebra (zebra mbuna)
Lineage: Eukaryota; Metazoa; Chordata; Actinopteri; Cichliformes; Cichlidae
Source: RefSeq, a predicted model, not a curated record
AUUAAUGCUCAUGAUUGCAUGUUAGCAAGACAGCAUCUCCCCAAGGUGAAACUCUCAGGAGACAUUUACUCUUAAACUGUAAUCUGGUUGAGACUACUUGAGGAGAUCUUAGUAGCGAGUAUGUGGAUUUAGUCUCUUCACCAACAGCAGACAGACCCAUGCCAAGAAAGCAGACAUGUUCUCAAAGAAAGCCGAGAGCAGAGAUUGGAAAAAGCUAAAAAGAAAAAGCUGCAGCUUCAGACGACUAUCUGCCUAUGUUGACUGUGACCUCAGAGGCCAACUGGACCACACAGCUGCAGCAGGAGUGAGGGAGAGGAGUCUUCAUCCAGCUUCAAAGAAAACAUCCAGUUAGAAACCCUGCAGCAACCCGACC